RNAcentral lists this ribosomal RNA (469 nucleotides) under uncultured bacterium. RNAcentral describes it as "partial 16S ribosomal RNA". It matches the Rfam family "Bacterial small subunit ribosomal RNA", at positions 28 to 507 of the family's 1533-position model. The record is from RNAcentral.
AACGAACGUUGGCGGCGUGGAUUAGGCAUGCAAGUCGAACGCGAAUCCCUGGGCAACUGGGGAGGAGAGUGGCGAAAGGGGCAGUAAGGCGUGGGUAACCUACCCUCCGGGCCGGGAUAGCUUCGGGAAACUGAAGGUAAUACCGGGCGACGCAGCGAGAUCGCAUGGUCUUGCUGCCAAAGGUCCGCCGCCGGGGGAGGGGCUCACGUGGUAUUAGCUAGACGGCGGGGUAACGGCCCACCGUGGCAAAGAUGCCUAGCAGGUGUGAGAGCACGACCUGCGCCACUGGCACUGAGACACUGGCCAGACACCUACGGGUGGCUGCAGUCGGGGAUCUUCGGCAAUGGGCGCAAGCCUGACCGAGCGACGCCGCGUGUGCGAUGAAGGCCUUCGGGUUGUAAAGCACUGUCGAGGGGGAGGAAGCCGCAAGGUUGACCUAUCCCUGGAGGAAGCACGGGCUAAGUUCGUG